GGACAGGUGCCGGAGCGGUCUAUCGGGCACGCCUGGAAAGCGUGUGUUGGUGAAAGCCAACCGAGGGUUCGAAUCCCUCCCUGUCCG
RNAcentral lists this transfer RNA (87 nucleotides) under bacterium. Its description in RNAcentral is "tRNA-Ser". It matches the Rfam family "tRNA". From Rfam's summary of the family: Transfer RNA (tRNA) molecules are approximately 80 nucleotides in length. RNAcentral also lists the same sequence under 1 other name. The record is from RNAcentral.